RNAcentral lists this ribosomal RNA (957 nucleotides) under Salmonella enterica subsp. enterica serovar Typhimurium. RNAcentral describes it as "partial 23S ribosomal RNA". It matches the Rfam family "Bacterial large subunit ribosomal RNA", at positions 757 to 1629 of the family's 2925-position model. Lineage: Bacteria; Pseudomonadati; Pseudomonadota; Gammaproteobacteria; Enterobacterales; Enterobacteriaceae. The record is from RNAcentral.
UAACACUAACUGGAGGACCGAACCGACUAAUGUUGAAAAAUUAGCGGAUGACCUGUGGCUGGGGGUGAAAGGCCAAUCAAACCGGGAGAUAGCUGGUUCUCCCCGAAAGCUAUUUAGGUAGCGCCUCGUGAAUUCAUCUCCGGGGGUAGAGCACUGUUUCGGCUAGGGGGCCAUCCCGGCUUACCAACCCGAUGCAAACUGCGAAUACCGGAGAAUGUUAUCACGGGAGACACACGGCGGGUGCUAACGUCCGUCGUGAAGAGGGAAACAACCCAGACCGCCAGCUAAGGUCCCAAAGUCAUGGUUAAGUGGGAAACGAUGUGGGAAGGCCCAGACAGCCAGGAUGUUGGCUUAGAAGCAGCCAUCAUUUAAAGAAAGCGUAAUAGCUCACUGGUCGAGUCGGCCUGCGCGGAAGAUGUAACGGGGCUAAACCAUGCACCGAAGCUGCGGCAGCGAACGUAUCACCCAAGACAACUUUACGGAGUUGACGAUUGACGGAGCGAAGCGACGUCAAAGCGUUCAUUAAAGUCGAGUUGGCUUAGGGAUACGUUCGUUGGGUAGGGGAGCGUUCUGUAAGCCUGUGAAGGUGUGUCGUGAGGCAUGCUGGAGGUAUCAGAAGUGCGAAUGCUGACAUAAGUAACGAUAAAGCGGGUGAAAAGCCCGCUCGCCGGAAGACCAAGGGUUCCUGUCCAACGUUAAUCGGGGCAGGGUGAGUCGACCCCUAAGGCGAGGCCGAAAGGCGUAGUCGAUGGGAAACGGGUUAAUAUUCCCGUACUUGGUGUUACUGCGAAGGGGGGACGGAGAAGGCUAUGUUGGCCGGGCGACGGUUGUCCCGGUUUAAGCGUGUAGGUGUGUGUUCCAGGUAAAUCCGGUUCACUUUAACACUGAGGCGUGACGACGAGGCACUACGGUGCUGAAGCAACAAAUGCCCUGCUUCCAGGAAAAGCCUCUAAGCAU